This 253-nucleotide ribosomal RNA is filed under the name uncultured bacterium. RNAcentral's name for it is "partial 16S ribosomal RNA". It matches the Rfam family "Bacterial small subunit ribosomal RNA", at positions 524 to 776 of the family's 1533-position model. The record is from RNAcentral.
UACAGAGGUGGCGAGCGUUGUUCGGAUUUACUGGGCGUAAAGGGUGCGUAGGCGGUUCCGCGUGUCGAAUGUGAAAUCUCACUGCUUAACGGUGAAAUGGCAUUCGAAACUGCGGGACUAGAGUGCAGAAGAGGAGAGCGGAAUUCUUGGUGUAGCGGUGGAAUGCGUUGAUAUCAAGAAGAACACCGGUGGCGUAGGCGGCUCUCUGGAAUGCAACUGACGCUGAGGCACGAAAGCGUGGGUAGCAAACAGG